Molecule: transfer RNA, 78 nt
Filed under: Paramuricea clavata
Lineage: Eukaryota; Metazoa; Cnidaria; Anthozoa; Malacalcyonacea; Plexauridae
Description: tRNA-Thr
Source: RNAcentral
GAUCCUAUAGCUCAAUGGUUAGAGCGCGUUCUGUCCGGUUAUCAGAAGGUUACGUAGUUCGAUUCCCGUUAGGGCUCA